GCGGGGGUGGCCGAGCCAGGUCAAAGGCGCAGGGCUUAGGACCCUGUCCCGUAGGGGUGCGUGGGUUCAAAUCCCACCCCCCGCACCA
Molecule: transfer RNA, 88 nt
Filed under: Thermoprotei archaeon
Lineage: Archaea; Thermoproteati; Thermoproteota; Thermoprotei
Description: tRNA-Leu
Rfam family: tRNA
About the family: Transfer RNA (tRNA) molecules are approximately 80 nucleotides in length. Their secondary structure includes four short double-helical elements and three loops (D, anti-codon, and T loops).
Source: RNAcentral